UCAAGUUACAAAGAGCGCAGGGCGAAUGCCUUGGCACCAAAAGCCGAUGAAGGACGUGACAAGCUGCGAAAAGCUACGGUGAGGAGCACAUAUCCCACGACCCGUAGAUGUCCGAAUGGGGAAACCCGUAUGAGGGAAUAGCUCAUACAAUAAUAACUGAAUUCAUAGGUUAUUAUGGGGAACGAAGCGAAUUGAAACAUCUUAGUAGCUUCAGGAAAAGAAAUCAACAGAGAUUCCGCAAGUAGUGGCGAGCGAACGCGGAAGAGGCCAAACCAAGUUACUCCGGUAAUUUGGGGUUAUGGACUACCAUAAAUGAUCUGAAAGUCUAGCUGAAUGAGCGGUUGGAAAGCCGAGUCCAGAGAGCGUAAAAGUCGCGUAAGCGAAAGACGGAAAGCAUAGGUAGCACCAGAGUACUACGAGACACGAGAAACCUUGUAGGAAGUCGGGGGGACCACCCUCCAAGCCUAAACACUUUUGGUGACCGAUAGUGAACGAGUACUGUGAAGGAAAGGUGAAAAGAACCCCGGGAGGGGAGUGAAAUAGAACCUGAAACCCUGUGUUUACAAGCAGUCGGAGAGCGUUAAGGCUCGACGGCGUACUUUUUGUAUAACGGUCCGACGAGUUAUGGUUAUUGGCGAGGUUAAGAACUAGAGGUUCGGAGCCGAAGAGAAAUCGAGUACGAAAUGUGCGAAAAGUCAGUAGCUGUAGACCCGAAGCCGAGUGACCUAUCCAUGAGCAGGUUGAAGUGAAGGUAACACUUCAUGGAGGACCGAACCUAUAUCUGUCGCAAAAGGUUAGGAUGACUUGUGGAUAGCGGAGAAAUUCCAAACGAACUCGGCGAUAGCUGGUUCUCCCCGAAAUAGCUUUAGGGCUAGCCUCAUUUUAAUGUAUACCGGAGGUAGAGCACUGAAUUGACUAGGGGCCUUACCGGGCUACCGAAUCAUAUCAAACUACGAAUGCCGGCUAUAUAGAAAUGGGAGUCAGACUGUGACAGAUAAUGCCAUAGUCGAGAGGGAAACAACCCAGACCGUCAGCUAAGGUCCCAAAAUGAUUGUUAAGUGGAAAAGGAUGUGGAUUUGCUAAGACAGCUAGGAUGUUGGCUUAGAAGCAGCCACUCAUUUAAAGAGUGCGUAAUAGCUCACUAGUCGAGUGGGUCUGCGCCGAAGAUAUACGGGGCUAAACAAUCUACCGAAGCUACGGAACGCAAGUUGGUAGGGGAGCAUUCUGUAAGGAGUUGAAGCACGAUGGUAACGACGUGUGGAUCUAUCAGAAGAGAGAAUGUCGGAAUAAGUAACGUAAGGGAAGUGAGAAUCUUCCCCGUCGAAAAUCCAAGGUUUCCUGGGGAAGGUUCGUCCUCCCAGGGUUAGUCGGGACCUAAGGAGAGGCCAAGAGGCGUAUCCGAUGGAGAACAGGUAGACAUUCCUGUACCACGGCUUAACGAUAUGAGAGAAGCAGGGACACAGAGGGAUAGCUUAAACAUGUGACUGGAAGAACAUGUACAAGCCUAGUAGAUAGUUUGAUAGUGAAGUACGUCAGACGUUUCGAAGAGGUGAUGUGUAGGGAAAAUAAAGUACCAAAGUAAGCGAUUCCGCACUGGCGAGAAAAGCUGCUAUCCAGUUAAGAGGUGCCCGUACCGCAAACCGACACAGGUGGAUGAGAAGAGAAUUCUAAGACGAGCGGGUGACGCAUUGUUAAGGAACUCGGCAAAUUAACCCCGUACGUUAGCAAGAAGGGGUGCCUACGCAAGUAGGCCGCAGAGAAAUGGCCCGAGCAACUGUUUACCAAAAACACAGGUCUCCGCAAACUCGAAAGAGGAAGUAUGGGGGCUGACGCCUGCCCGGUGCUGGAAGGUCAUGGGAAUCUGUUAGUAUUUAGUACGAAGCAGUGAACUUAAGCCCCAGUAAACGGCGGCCGUAACUAUAACGGUCCUAAGGUAGCGAAAUUCCUUGUCAGGUAAGUUCUGACCCGCACGAAUGGCGUAAUGAUUUGGGCACUGUCUCGACAAUGCACCCGGUGAAAUUGUAGUACUUGUGAAAAUGCAAGUUACCCGCGACAGGAAGGAAAGACCCCAUGGAGCUUUACUGUAGAUUGUUAUUGGGAUUCGAUGUUGUCUGUAGAGGAUAGGUGGGAGACUAAGAAGCAUUGGCGUCAGCUGAUGUGGAGUCACCCUUGGAAUACCACCCUGACAGCAUUGGAUCUCUAACUGGGAGCCGUUAACCGGCUACAGGACAUUGGCAGUCGGGCAGUUUGACUGGGGCGGUCGCCUCCUAAAAAGUAACGGAGGCGU
Molecule: ribosomal RNA, 2287 nt
Filed under: fermentation metagenome
Description: bacterial LSU rRNA
Rfam family: Bacterial large subunit ribosomal RNA
Source: RNAcentral